UGAGGAAUAUUGGUCAAUGGGCGGAAGCCUGAACCAGCCAUGCCGCGUGCAGGAAGACGGCCCUACGGGUUGUAAACUGCUUUUCCGGGGGAAGAAUAAGGGCGACGUGUCGCCCGAUGCCGGUACCCCGGGAAUAAGGAUCGGCUAACUCCGUGCCAGCAGCCGCGGUAAUACGGAGGAUCCGAGCGUUAUCCGGAUUUACUGGGUUUAAGGGGUGCGUAGGCGGGCCCCUAAGUCAGCGGUGAAAGUCUGCGGCUCAACCGUAGGAUUGCCGUUGAUACUGGGGGUCUUGGAUUCGGUCGAGGCGGGCGGAAUGCGUGGUGUAGCGGUGAAAUGCUUAGAUAUCACGCAGAACGCCGAUUGCGAAGGCAGCUCGCCGGGCCGACAUCGACGCUGAGGCACGAAAGCGUGGGGAUCGAACA
RNAcentral lists this ribosomal RNA (422 nucleotides) under uncultured prokaryote. Its description in RNAcentral is "bacterial SSU rRNA". It matches the Rfam family "Bacterial small subunit ribosomal RNA", at positions 355 to 774 of the family's 1533-position model. The record is from RNAcentral.